AGGGGUACUGACUUCCCUCCGUCCUCCUCCUUUCCUCCGCCACAGAUGAGCGCCUUGACCUGGACGAUGGGCGCUGGGAGGACGUCCACGUUAUCACCGGAGCCCUGAAGCUCUUCUUUCGGGAGCUGCCCGAGCCCCUCUUCCCCUUCUCGCACUUCCGCCAGUUCAUUGCGGCCAUCAAGUUGCAGGACCAGGCCCAGCGCAGCCGCUGUGUGCGUGACUUGGUGCGCUCGCUGCCCGCCCCCAACCACGACACUCUGAGGAUGCUCUUCCAGCAUCUCUGCCGGGUGAUCGAGCACGGCGAGCAGAACCGCAUGUCGGUGCAGAGCGUGGCCAUUGUGUUCGGGCCCACGCUGCUGCGGCCCGAGGUGGAAGAGACCAGCAUGCCCAUGACCAUGGUGUUCCAGAACCAGGUGGUGGAGCUCAUCCUGCAGCAGUGCGCGGACAUCUUCCCGCCGCACUGAC
RNAcentral lists this small RNA (465 nucleotides) under Pongo abelii (Sumatran orangutan). Its description in RNAcentral is "retained intron". The record is from RNAcentral. Lineage: Eukaryota; Metazoa; Chordata; Mammalia; Primates; Hominidae.